GUAAGUAAAUAUUAAUUACGAAAGCAAAAAAUUAUGGCGGUAUUUUAAGCUUUUCAGAGGAAUUUGCUCUUUAAUGGAUAAAACACCUAGAUCUUACUUAAAUUAGUACUUUUCAGUUUGUAUACCACUAUUACAAUAAUAAUUCAUUAUUAUUAUUAAUAUUCUUGUAUUAGAAAAAAAUUAAGUCAAGGUGCAGCAUAAAUUUAUGAAUGAAGUGAAUUACAUUUCUUAAAAGAAAAUUAGAAAGUUGAAAUAGGAUAUUUAGGAUUUGAAAGUAAAAUGUGAAAGAUAAGGUUAAUUUGAAGUAAGCUCUNGGGGUGUACACAUCG
This 329-nucleotide ribosomal RNA is filed under the name Hyalomma truncatum. RNAcentral's name for it is "partial 12S ribosomal RNA". The record is from RNAcentral. Lineage: Eukaryota; Metazoa; Arthropoda; Arachnida; Ixodida; Ixodidae.